This 1125-nucleotide long non-coding RNA is filed under the name Mytilus galloprovincialis (Mediterranean mussel). The record is from RNAcentral. Lineage: Eukaryota; Metazoa; Mollusca; Bivalvia; Mytilida; Mytilidae.
UCCUGUGUCACCUAUGCCUGUAACAACACCCAUUUCUCCAUUGCAAUGGCAACUGAACGAGAUAUGAGCUUACUAUACUGUUUGGGGUUUUUUGGUUGUCAGUAAAUUUUAUUUUUUUCUGUGCGUAAUUUGAAGAUAACUGUAAAGUUUAUUUUAAGCUUUGCUUACGAACAAAGGUGUUUAGUUUACCUUAUAAGCGACGUGUAGAACAAUCACACCUCUUGCAUUUUCAUAAUCAGCUAUUCGUGACAUUGACAAUAUAUGCCUUUCAACAAUAUUCCAGAACAAUGUACUUACUUCAACACUUCAUGACAGUCAUGUUCAGGAGGUUAAUAGACUUAAUGACGCCAGAAAAAAAUGUUUAUCCCUGCCACACUUUUUGUGUGUCUGGUCCAAAUGAAAAGCCUGUAUUCAGUGGUUGUUGCUGUAUAUCAUAUUUGUUUUUCGUUUCUUGUUUUGUUCUUAAAAAAGUUCGUUAUUUUUCUCGUUUGAUUUUUUUACAUUUUUCAUUUUGGUGCCUUUUAUACCCAACUAUGCGUUAUGGAUUUUUCUCAUUGUUAAAGGCCGUACGAUGGCCUAUAGUUGUUAACUUAUAUGUAAUUUGGUCUCUAGUGGAUAAUUUUCAAAUAGGCAAUCAUACCAGUACUUUUAUAAGUUUAAGCCCUUUCUAUAACUUCAAUACUUGGUGAUAGUGUCGGAAAUCGAACAUGUGAGAUCAUCCCGAUUUCAUAGUUCCUGCAGUUUGAGAAUUGAUUGUACAUGUUUAUUUUGCAACUUUUUGUGCAUCUAAACUCAUAAUUGUGGCACAUAAGUAGUACUGGCGCAUUUUGAUCUGUAGAGAAGCUAGAUACCUCUCGUAAAACGAGUAUCUUACUUUUAGCGUGUGUAAAAUGCAGCGAGUUCUAUUUCAGUCAGUGUGACUGUGCAUGUACGUGAGAUCGAUUCUUGUAUUCCAAAAUUUCUGUAUCAAAUUAAUCUACCAGUCAAAAUUUUACACCUUAACAAGUAUAUGGUUUUAAAGGUUAACUCUAAAUGUACAAUAAAUAUAUACAAGCAAUUGUAAAAACGACUUGCCUUGUACCCAGACUACCCAGACUUUGAAACCAAAUUUUCGAAAUAUUUUUA